AGGACGAACGCUGGCGGCGUGCUUAACACAUGCAAGUCGAGCGGAAAGGCCCUUCGGGGUACUCGAGCGGCGAACGGGUGAGUAACACGUGAGCAACCUGCCCUUAGCUCUGGGAUAGCUCCGGGAAACCGGAAUUAAUACCGAAUAUGACUACGGUUGACAUCAGCCAUGGUGGAAAGUUUUUCGGCUAGGGAUGAGCUCGCGGCCUAUCAGCUAGUUGGUGGGGUAACGGCCUACCAAGGCGACGACGGGUA
RNAcentral lists this ribosomal RNA (254 nucleotides) under uncultured bacterium. RNAcentral's name for it is "partial small subunit ribosomal RNA". It matches the Rfam family "Bacterial small subunit ribosomal RNA", at positions 26 to 285 of the family's 1533-position model. The record is from RNAcentral.